GACGAACGCUGGCGGCGUGCUUAACACAUGCAAGUCGAGCGGUAAGGCCCUUUCGGGGGUACACGAGCGGCGAACGGGUGAGUAACACGUGGGUGACCUGCCUUUAGCUCUGGGAUAAGCCUGGGAAACUGGGUCUAAUACCGGAUACGACUCCGCGGUGCAUGCUGUGGGGUGGGAAAGCCUUGUGCGGCUGGAGAUGGGCCCGCGGCCUAUCAGCUUGUUGGUGGGGUGAUGGCCACCAAGGCGACGACGGGUAGCCGGCCUGAGAGGGCGACCGGCCACACUGGGACUGAGACACGGCCCAGACUCCUACGGGAGGCAGCAGU
RNAcentral lists this ribosomal RNA (326 nucleotides) under uncultured bacterium. Its description in RNAcentral is "bacterial SSU rRNA". It matches the Rfam family "Bacterial small subunit ribosomal RNA", at positions 28 to 355 of the family's 1533-position model. The record is from RNAcentral.